CUCUUUCAUUGAAGAAAUUUAAGUUCGUGUGGUUUUACCUUUUCCGGGAGUCUCCAGCUGGCCCUCAUUUGUGUCCGGAGCUCAGGAGUUCCCAAACCGACUCAGUCGCACCAAGUUUCCGUCUUUUGGAAUUGGGGAAGGAGUUUCUUUCUUUCUUUUUUUUUCUUGAGCCAGUUUUAAUCGCUUUGAAUAAAUACUCCCUUAAGUAGUUAAAUAUAGGAGGAGAAAGAAUACAUCGGUUGUUAAAGCAGGAGAGGAAGAGAGACCUGCCCUAUAGCGUGACUCCUCUAGAAAAAAAAAAAAAAAAAGCCGGAGUAUUUUACUAAGCCCCUAAAAUGUCGAGAUUUGUACAAGAUUCAACCCUAUGAAAAGAUAAAGGCCAGGGGCUUGCCUGAUAAUAUAUCUUCUGUGUUGAACAAACUAGUGGUGGUGAAACUCAAUGGUGGUUUGGGAACCAGCAUGGGCUGCAAAGGCCCUAAAAGUCUGAUUGGUGUGAGGAAUGAGAAUACCUUUCUGGAUCUGACUGUUCAGCAAAUUGAACAUUUGAAUAAAACCUACAAUACAGAUGUUCCUCUUGUUUUAAUGAACUCUUUUAACACGGAUGAAGAUACCAAAAAAAUACUACAGAAGUACAAUCAUUGUCGUGUGAAAAUCUACACUUUCAAUCAAAGCAGGUACCCGAGGAUUAAUAAAGAAUCUUUACUUCCUGUAGCAAAGGAUGUGUCUUACUCAGGGGAAAAUACAGAAGCUUGGUACCCUCCAGGUCAUGGUGAUAUUUACGCCAGUUUCUACAACUCUGGAUUGCUUGAUACCUUUAUAGGAGAAGGCAAAGAGUAUAUUUUUGUGUCUAACAUAGAUAAUCUGGGUGCCACAGUGGAUCUGUAUAUUCUUAAUCAUCUAAUGAACCCACCCAAUGGAAAACGCUGUGAAUUUGUCAUGGAAGUCACAAAUAAAACACGUGCAGAUGUAAAGGGCGGGACACUCACUCAAUAUGAAGGCAAACUGAGACUGGUGGAAAUUGCUCAAGUGCCAAAAGCACAUGUAGAUGAGUUCAAGUCUGUAUCAAAGUUCAAAAUAUUUAAUACAAACAACCUAUGGAUUUCUCUUGCAGCAGUUAAAAGACUGCAGGAGCAAAAUGCCAUUGACAUGGAAAUCAUUGUGAAUGCAAAGACUUUGGAUGGAGGCCUGAAUGUCAUUCAAUUAGAAACUGCAGUAGGGGCUGCCAUCAAAAGUUUUGAGAAUUCUCUAGGUAUUAAUGUGCCAAGGAGCCGUUUUCUGCCUGUCAAAACCACAUCAGAUCUCUUGCUGGUGAUGUCAAACCUCUAUAGUCUUAAUGCAGGAUCUCUGACAAUGAGUGAAAAGCGGGAAUUUCCUACAGUGCCCUUGGUUAAAUUAGGCAGUUCUUUUACAAAGGUACGUAACUAUAAAGAUAUGUGAGUUCAUAUUUCUUAAAUGUGUAAUUAUAAAGAUAUGAUAUACAUGUGAAUUGGAGACUAAUUACAGUCUCUACCACUGACCUGUUGUAUUCCUCUGUCUUUGAUACCUUUUAAAGGGAAUUGACCAUAGAAGAUAAAUAUUUUACUUCACAUUUGAAACAUGAUUGCCAUAUGGAGAGUAGAAAAUAAUCUUUAAAUUUUGGGGCAUUUUAUCUUCUGUCUCUUCCAAGACCAGUACUGCUUUCAUCAGUGGGAAAAGGUUAAUUCUGGCUUAACAAAUACUUAUUGAACGCCUAUCAUGCACUGGGCAGUGUUCUAGGUUCUAGGGAUUUAGCAUUAAACAAAACAGACUAAAUCUUUGUCUUCACGGAAUUGACAUUCUAGUGGGGAAAGGACGAUAAGUAAGUAAAUGUAUGAUAUACCAAGUGGUGGAAAAUGCUAUGGAGAAACAAAGCAAGGGUGGAGAAUAGGGAAUGCCUGGGGAGGUGGCGGGGUGGUGUUGAUGGUGUAAUUUUACAUUGAGUGGCCACAGGCAGCCUCAUUGAGUUGAUUGGGUCUGACAAAUGGGUAUCUAGUGCAAAAAGUGUUCUAGACAGGUGGAAUAGCAAGUACAGUACGUCCUCAGUGUCAUCAGUAUGUUCUUGGAAACUGCCACAGUAAGCAGAACAAUGUGUAACACAUUUUGCCAUAGGCUAAUUGAUAUAAACAAGAGUUCAGUUCCUACAGUUUAUUUCUGGUCACAAAAAUAUCACCAAAUUUUAAAAACAAAACACUUCUAAUAUUAAACCCUGAAAUAAAUGUGAGCUGUACAUACAUUGAUUAAUAAAAACAAGAUAAUUCUUGACUCACUUAUUCCGGUUCAGGUUCACGGGUGACCAGAGCUUAUCCCGGCAGCUCAGGGCACAAGGCAGGAGCCAACCCUGCACAGGCCGCCAUCCCAUCUCGGGGCACACUCACACAUAUCCACACUCAUACUGGGACCAUGUAGACACACCAGUUCACCUAACAUGCACAUCUUUGGGAUGUGGGAAGAAACCAGAAUAGUUGGAGAAAACCCACACAGAUGUGGGGAGAACGUGCAAACUCCACAUAGACAGUAGCCCUGGCUGGCAAUCUUUUUUUUCCCCUCAUCAGCGUUAUAACAAAGUAACAUUGAACAAAACAGCACUAUCUGUGGACCUGCUGUAAAACUCCACCCUAGCCUGAUAAGUGAAAUCCAAAAAAUUUAAUCAAUGAAAUGUGACACUGUGAGCCUUUGUGGUUGGCCUAUGGGGUCCUGCUCUGCCAUCCAAGUCUGUUUUAGUCCACAGCAGGUGUGGUUUGGUGCCACCUGCUGUGGAUUUGUAGAAUGCAGAUGGGGAAUUAGAAAACUAUGAAUGCAUGUGUCCUCAGAGUCAAAUGAAGAAAAUAUUUCAAGAAAGUGGGAAUGAUCAUGUGUCAAAUGCUGCUGCUGAUUCAAGUAAGAUGAGAAUUAGUUUUAUCAGUAUGGAGGUUUGGGAGCCUCACAGGCAUGGAUUUAAAAGAGAAUGAAAAACGAGGAACUGGAGAUAUGAAUAUCGAAAACUCAAGAGUUUUGCCUUAAAGAGAAACAGAGAAAUGGGGCUAUAGGUAGAAAGGAAUAUAGGAUUUGAGUUUUUGUUUUUUUUUAAUGGGAGGAUGUUUAUACAUUAAUGGGAAUGCAGUCAGGAGGGAAAAAAGACUGAAGAGGGAGAAUUGCUGAAACAACACUUGAUAGGCCGUAAGAAGGGAUCUGAUGCACAAAUGGAGAGGUUGGCUUUAAGUAGGAAUAGAAACAGUCCAAUUCCAGUACUAGGAAGGCAGAGUAAUGGGCAAUGGGGGCAAAGUAGUGGUGGUGGUGGAUGGAAACAAGUGGAAGUUUUCUGAUUGCUCCCAUUUUCCCAGCAAAAUAGGAAACGGGGUCACAUAGGACAAUCUCUAGUGCUUGUAAAUCUAAGGAAAUAAAAAGACAAAUUAUUAUGAUAACAUAAUAAUUUGUGCUGUUGCUCUUCCUAAAAUGUGCUCUAAUUUUUCAGAAUCCUACCUAUCCACUAAAGUCCAGCUCCAGUCUAGCCUGCUUCAAAGCAUGAUCUCUUUUUUUCAGUUAAAUUCAGAUUGUGUGAACUAUUCAUCUGGCUCUUGGCAUGUUGAUUAUCUUUAAAAAAAAAAAAAAAGAAAAAAAAAACCUUAGAUCUGCUCAACUGUCUUAUAAAUUGCUUGGUAUAAAAACAAUGUUUGUAGCUCCUGGUCUUUCCUGCACAGCAUUUAGCAUAUAAUGAGUGCUUAAUAAGUAGGUGCUUCCCACAGAGGACCUGAGCUUUGCCAAAAAAGGUUUCUACAGUUCAGUUAAACUUUCUUGUUAAUAUUUUUCCUGUCUUUCUUUGAACCCAUUUGAGACAAAUUUUUAUGUUUCAACUUUUCUGUAAGGUUCAAGAUUAUCUAAGAAGAUUUGAAAGUAUACCAGAUAUGCUUGAAUUGGAUCACCUCACAGUUUCAGGAGAUGUGACAUUUGGAAAAAAUGUUUCAUUAAAGGGAACGGUUAUCAUCAUUGCAAAUCAUGGUGACAGAAUUGAUAUCCCACCUGGAGCAGUAUUAGAGAACAAGAUUGUGUCUGGAAACCUUCGCAUCUUGGACCACUGAAAUGAAAAAUACUGUGGACACUUUAAUAAUGGGCUAGUUUCUUACAAUGAAAUGUUCUCUAGGAUUCUAAAAUAGGCAGGUACUUUACUAUGUUACUGUACCCUGCAGUGUUGAUUUUUAAAAUAGAGUUUUCUGCAGUAUGCUUUUAGUCUAAGAAAAGCACAGAUGGAGCAAUACUUUCCUUCUUUGAAGAGGAUCCCAAAAGUUAGUUCAUCUUAAAGUGCAAUAUUGUUUAAUCUUAAAACUGGGCAACUUUGGAAGAACUUUUAACAGAAGCCUCAAUGAUGAUCACUUUGAAUUGCUUGUGAUUUCAAAAAUAAAGCAGUGAAGCAAUA
RNAcentral lists this small RNA (4408 nucleotides) under Pan troglodytes (chimpanzee). RNAcentral's name for it is "retained intron". Lineage: Eukaryota; Metazoa; Chordata; Mammalia; Primates; Hominidae. The record is from RNAcentral.